UCUCACACUGGACCGCUCGUUUUACAGCCUAACACAUGCAAGUCGAACGGCAGCACAGGAGAGCUUGCUCUCUGGGUGGCGAGUGGCGGACGGGUGAGGAAUACAUCGGAAUCUACUUUUUCGUGGGGGAUAACGUAGGGAAACUUACGCUAAUACCGCAUACGACCUACGGGUGAAAGCAGGGGAUCUUCGGACCUUGCGCGAUUGAAUGAGCCGAUGUCGGAUUAGCUAGUUGGCGGGGUAAAGGCCCACCAAGGCGACGAUCCGUAGCUGGUCUGAGAGGAUGAUCAGCCACACUGGAACUGAGACACGGUCCAGACUCCUAC
RNAcentral lists this ribosomal RNA (326 nucleotides) under uncultured bacterium. RNAcentral's name for it is "bacterial SSU rRNA". It matches the Rfam family "Bacterial small subunit ribosomal RNA", at positions 46 to 342 of the family's 1533-position model. The record is from RNAcentral.